UACGUAGGGUCCGAGCGUUGUCCGGAAUUAUUGGGCGUAAAGCGCACGUAGGCGGAUCGUUAAGUUGGGGGUGAAAUCCUGGAGCUCAACUCCAGAACUGCCUUCAAUACUGGCGAUCUAGAGUCCGGAAGAGGUGAGUGGAACUCCUAGUGUAGAGGUGGAAUUCGUAGAUAUUGGGAGGAACACCAGUGGCGAAGGCGGCGACCUGGGUCGAUACUGACGCUGAGGUGCGAAAGCGUGGGGAGCAAACAGG
RNAcentral lists this ribosomal RNA (253 nucleotides) under uncultured bacterium. RNAcentral's name for it is "partial 16S ribosomal RNA". It matches the Rfam family "Bacterial small subunit ribosomal RNA", at positions 524 to 776 of the family's 1533-position model. The record is from RNAcentral.